GGGUGAGUAAUGCAUAGGAAUCUGCCCGAUAGUGGGGGAUAACCUGGGGAAACCCAGGCUAAUACCGCAUACGUCCUACGGGAGAAAGGGGGCUUCGGCUCCCGCUAUCGGAUGAGCCUAUGUCGGAUUAGCUAGUUGGUGAGGUAAAGGCUCACCAAGGCAACGAUCCGUAGCUGGUCUGAGAGGAUGAUCAGCCACAUCGGGACUGAGACACGGCCCGAACUCCUACGGGAGGCAGCAGUGGGGAAUAUUGGACAAUGGGGGCAACCCUGAUCCAGCCAUGCCGCGUGUGUGAAGAAGGCCCUCGGGUUGUAAAGCACUUUCAGCGAGGAAGAACGCCUAGCGGUUAAUACCCGCUAGGAAAGACAUCACUCGCAGAAGAAGCACCGGCUAACUCCGUGCCAGCAGCCGCGGUAAUACGGAGGGUGCAAGCGUUAAUCGGAAUUACUGGGCGUAAAG
RNAcentral lists this ribosomal RNA (459 nucleotides) under Vreelandella aquamarina. Its description in RNAcentral is "bacterial SSU rRNA". It matches the Rfam family "Bacterial small subunit ribosomal RNA", at positions 104 to 565 of the family's 1533-position model. The record is from RNAcentral. Lineage: Bacteria; Pseudomonadati; Pseudomonadota; Gammaproteobacteria; Oceanospirillales; Halomonadaceae.